GGUUCUGGUUGUAGCUACACGCUCUGCUUGGGACUGUUCCUGUCAUCUAAUAAACCUUCUGUUUUAUUGGCUGGCUGAGAGUCACGGUGAAUCCCAGGAAGAGGGGUGCAGGGUCCUGACUCACCCACAGUCCAUGACAGAAGCGGACUGAAGUUCUUAACCUUGAGAUUGAUUUUGAUAAGCUAUAUGAUGAUUACAGCAUUUUACAGAAAAUUAGGGAAGUAAUUUCAAAGGAGCAAAAAGCUGAUCAAAGAUGCUGGAAGUUUUCAAAUAAAUACCACACAUUUUUAAACUUGUAUCUUUGCAUGCUUUCAAUUCCAGUCUCAAAUGAAAAUCUUUUUGCAGUAUGCAGGUUUCUGACUCAACUUGGGAGGAAAGAAAGGAACUGAUUAAGUGAAGCAAAGCUAAGUAUAGGUGCACUAAAGUAUGUCUUGUGAUGACAUUUAUGAAUGUCAGAAAGUCUCCAGAGUUGCUGAAAGCAGCAAGAAAUUAUAGGUUUAAGAAGAAAGAAACCAUGAGCAAAGACAUUCAACUACAGGAGAACCAACUUUUAUAAGGAAAAGGGAAACAACCUGUCUUCCAACUUUAAGAGAGGCAGAAAUAGGAGAGGUAUCCUGAUCUAGGCACUUGGUCAAAAGUGAGGGAAUGAAGAGAUCCUUUCCCAAAAAGGACCCUGCAGCUGGUUAGUACAUCUCAAGAAAUUGAAGGAUGGCCCGCUGCGGGAUUUGCUGAUUCAGAAUAUCGUCACUAGAAUAUAGACUGGUGGGCUGCUCUGAAACUAAAGCUGCCCACCUCCAGCGGAAACUCCAGAGCUGGAGAUUGUGUGGGUAUGAAACAGUCUCUUAGGGACAAAGAAUACCAAACUGGCAAAAAGCAGGGGCCACUCAACCUCUCUUAACAUUUAGACCAAUCUCAGACACCAACACGUGAUAUCCUGAGCCACUACUAUGAGUCAGAACCCUGACAACCAUCAUGGGUGGGGAAAAAAGUAUUUAUCAAAAACACGAGUGACCAAAGUCAGGAAUGCCUUCUCUGAAGACAAAAUCUGGCCACACCUCUCAAGUGUGUGAUAGAUCAGCCAGUAGAACAGCUUGGAAUUCCACCACCACAACCCCCCACCGGAACAUUUGAUAUGUUUUGAAAAAAUGAAA
This is a non-coding RNA of Chrysemys picta bellii (western painted turtle), 1151 nucleotides long. The record is from RefSeq and is a predicted model, not a curated record. Lineage: Eukaryota; Metazoa; Chordata; Testudines; Emydidae.